GUGUGUGUGUGUGUGUGUGUGUGUGUAAAGGCAAUAGCGAAUUUACAUUACUAGGUUAUUUCUCACAGGUGUUCUCCACGAAAGCCGAAGUAGGCCUUAACUCGGUAGCGUUAUUUUUACUCAGGUAAUUAAAAAGCAUUUCUAGUUCAUUGUCAUUCACUAUCACUGUGGAAAAAUCUCUGGAGCAGGUUGCUCCCCUUCUCCUCCUUGGGAUCUGAGUUCCCCGUAAAUUAGAAUUUGAUUAUCAUCAUUAAACUCAUAUUGUUUUCCACAGUGAUAGUGAUUAACACGCUUUACGAACUUUUUGAUUAACUCCCCGAGAUAUUGCCUGAUUUGGCUUCCGUGAAGAACAGAAGUAGCUAUAGCCUACGCAUGAGGGCAGAACAUCAUUCGUCCUUCGUGCGUAAGUAUUCCGUGUAAAAAAUAAUAAUAAUAAAUAAAAAUCCCCUGAUAGAAUUCCUUCCUGAAACAGGUACUCCCUCCACUGAGAGUCAAGCGUUUUCGGUACAAGAAUUACCGAGAAUUAAUACCUUGCAACUUUAGGAGUAUAGAAUCCUAAAGGGUAUUGCUCUGUUCUGGGGAAAUCGUAAAGGCGAAGUCAUCAAUGAAAUUAGUUCUUGCCCACUUUCACGUCACAGCUCCAGAGAAAGUGCUAGCGAAUUUAUUAGGCAAAGGAUCCGUAUCGCUAUGGGUAAUGAUUCUUGCUGGGUUAACGUUCUUUCAUGGCGGACUUUUCUCUUUCGAUCUCCUUUCUUGUUGAAAAAUUCCACAGUUCGUGUUUUUUAUUUUUGUUUUUUUAUUAUAAUGUUACUAUAAUAUAUGGCAUUGGUUCGCAACAGGGAGCAAGAUUUUCAUCGAAGUUUAGAAAACACAAGGCAGGAGGAAUACUUUCGACGUUGCUAGGACCUUCGUGAAUCAGGUUCCUCUGCGUCGACAAAAGCAGUUGACAAAAAGGCCAGAAACCGCCUAAGAUCCGGUGAACAGCUUAAAACAUAUAAAGUGGUUGAUGCAAUGAACUGAUAUUAGUGCGGAAUACCAGUCGCUUCGGAAAUCAACAGCAACAGAUGACAAAUAAAAGCCCGUUGCAAUCAACGAAAUAUCCAGCAAAAGAGGGCGCCGUUGCCCUUUGCCAAAGCACGCCAACGAAGGAAUCCAUACACAUUAUCAGCAGCAGAUGAGAUGAAGAAAGCGCGUCAGACAAGAGUAUUUCCUCCCGGCGAGCGACCUUACCCCGUUCCUCCUCCUGCUCCUGCUCCUGCUCCUGCUCCUGCUCCACGGGAGAAGACGAACAACACUGCAAGAGAGAGAGAGAGAGAGAGAGAGCUGUCGAUCCAGCGUCUCUUCAUAUAACGUGGCGCUCUCGGCUUCGUUCCGCCGCCCUGUCUUGGUUGUGGUGGGCUUAAGGCGCAAAGAAGUCGAGGACGGAAUAACGUGCCGCAUUAUUUUGAAGAUUCUAAAAAGAAAAAGGAAAUGAAGAUAGAAGAAAAUUCGAAUACCUUUUUAAAGAUGUGUGUGGGACAGGGAGGGCGAGAGAAUGAGAGAGAGAGAGAGAGAGAGAGAGAGAGAGAGAGAGAGAGAGAGAAUGAGAGAGAGAGAGAGAGAGAGAGAGAGAGAGAGAGAGAGAGAGAGAGAGAGAGAGAGAGAGAGAGAAAGAGAGAGAGAGAGAGAGAGAGAGAGAAUGAUAAUGACGAUGAUGGAGAUUAUGAUCACGAUAUUGAUGACGAUAGCGAUAACAAUAACAAUUAUGAUAUUAUCUAAUACACAGAAUCUCUACCAUUACUAGUAGGUGUAAUAAAGGCCUAUUUUGUCUAUGCUGACUCUACCUCAUGAACAACUGAAACGGUCACCAUUAGCACGCCUGAUUAAUCAUUCCACGUUUCAUCAGUGACUCGUUUCGUGGCAGACCCAUAUCUAAACAGAUCAAUAGCCAGAGCUACAAAAAGGAAAGAAACGGGAGAAACAUCGGUGUCUUAUUACCCUAAUGGAAGGCUGUGGAAAAAAGGCCACUUCCUCUAG
This 2016-nucleotide long non-coding RNA is filed under the name Penaeus monodon (black tiger shrimp). RNAcentral describes it as "uncharacterized LOC119576351". The record is from RNAcentral. Lineage: Eukaryota; Metazoa; Arthropoda; Malacostraca; Decapoda; Penaeidae.